Molecule: small nuclear RNA, 107 nt
Organism: Sorex araneus (European shrew)
Lineage: Eukaryota; Metazoa; Chordata; Mammalia; Eulipotyphla; Soricidae
Source: Ensembl
GUGCUUGCUUCUGCAGCACAUAUACUAAAAUUGAAAUGAUACAGAGAAGAUUAGCUUGGCCCCUGUGCAAAGAUGACAUGCAAAUUCAUAAAGCGUUCCACAUUUUC